CCUACGGGAGGCAGCAGUGAGGAAUAUUGGUCAAUGGGCGAGAGUCUGAACCAGCCAAGUAGCGUGAAGGAUGACUGCCCUAUGGGUUUUAAACUUCUUUUAUAAAGGAAUAAAACGAGGCACGUGUGCCUUUUUUCAUGUACUUUAUGAAUAAGGAUCGGCUAACUCCGUGCCAGCAGCCGCGGUAAUACGGAGGAUCCGAGCGUUAUCCGGAUUUAUUGGGUUUAAAGGGAGAGGAGAUGGGUUGUUAAGUCAGGUGUGAAAGUUUGCGGCUGAACCGUAAAAGUGCAAUUGAUACUGGCAGACGUGAGUACAGGUGAGGUAGGCGGAAUUCGUGGUGUAGCGGUGAAAUGCGUAGAUAUAACGAAGAACCCCGAUUGCGAAGGCAGCUUACUAAACUGUGACUGACAUUGAGGCUCGAAAGUGUGGGUAUCAAACAGGAUUAGAUACCCGUGUAGUC
RNAcentral lists this ribosomal RNA (460 nucleotides) under uncultured bacterium. RNAcentral's name for it is "partial 16S ribosomal RNA". It matches the Rfam family "Bacterial small subunit ribosomal RNA", at positions 338 to 795 of the family's 1533-position model. The record is from RNAcentral.